RNAcentral lists this ribosomal RNA (248 nucleotides) under Hydropsyche bronta. RNAcentral's name for it is "Ceratopsyche bronta partial 28S large subunit ribosomal RNA". It matches the Rfam family "Eukaryotic large subunit ribosomal RNA", at positions 650 to 855 of the family's 3401-position model. Lineage: Eukaryota; Metazoa; Arthropoda; Insecta; Trichoptera; Hydropsychidae. The record is from RNAcentral.
CGUCUUGAAACACGGACCAAGGAGUCUAGCAUGCGCGCGAGUCAUUGGGAACUGAUAAACCCAGAGGCGCAAUGAAAGUGAACAGCGUCGCUUCGGUGACCGCAGGGAAGAUGGCGGCCGGCACGCCCGUCCGCCCGCAUUCCCGAGGCGUUUCGAGAAAUGCCCCCGUGCGAUUAUCGAGACGCACUGAGAGCGCGCACGCUGGGACCCGAAAGAUGGUGAACUAUGCCUGGUCAGGUCGAAGUCAG